RNAcentral lists this ribosomal RNA (559 nucleotides) under Ommatius sp. D035. RNAcentral's name for it is "partial 16S ribosomal RNA". It matches the Rfam family "Bacterial large subunit ribosomal RNA", at positions 1796 to 2622 of the family's 2925-position model. The record is from RNAcentral. Lineage: Eukaryota; Metazoa; Arthropoda; Insecta; Diptera; Asilidae.
UCGCCUGUUUUACAAAAACAUGUCCUAUAGAUUUUAUUUUAGGUCUGACCUGCCCGGUGAUAAAUUUAACGGCCGCAGAAUUUUAACUGUGCAAAGGUAGCAUAAUCAUUAGUCUUUUAAUUGAAGGCUUGUAUGAAUGGUUGGACGAGGUACUUUCUGUUUCAUUUAUAAUUUUUAGAAUUUUAUUUUUUAGUUAAAAAGCUAAAAUUUUUUUAAAAGACGAGAAGACCCUAUAGAUCUUUAUAAAUAUAUACUAUAUUAGUUUUUUUGGUUAUUUAUUUUACAUUAUAAUAUAAUUUAUUUCGUUGGGGUGAUGUAGAUAUUUAAUUAACUUUCUAUUAGGUUUUACAUUUAUUUAUGGAAUGAUUUUUGAUCCUGUUUUAUAGAUUAUAAAAUUAAGUUACCUUAGGGAUAACAGCGUAAUUUUUCUGGAGAGUUCAUAUCGAUAGAAGAGAUUGCGACCUCGAUGUUGGAUUAAGAUAUAUUAUUGGGCGCAGCCGUUAAUUGUUAAGUCUGUUCGACUUUUAAAUUCUUACAUGAUCUGAGUUCAAACCGGAGA